AGGCCAUCAUUGUAUGUAAAGUAUUUUAACAGUCAAUUCCUAAUAUCAGACUUAGGGCAUCAAAAUUUUCCCCACUUAUGUCUUUGACAUUCUCAUUAGGGACUCAGGAUCAAACCAUAGUCAAAACUGACUCAACAAGCAAUGCAACUUCUACAGGUGGCUCCCACCAACUUCCAUGGUAUAGCACUUAGUUCCACACUUCCCACAGGGUGGUUGCCCUAAUACCAUCCUAUCACAAACUCGAAUCAUGUGGAUUGUGGACUCCUCUUUGGUCCCUCGGCCCCAAAAUAUAUAUCCAAAAUUUUGUAUUAGCAAUUUGAGAUGAAACUGAGUCUAAUG
Molecule: unclassified non-coding RNA, 339 nt
Filed under: Hevea brasiliensis (rubber tree)
Lineage: Eukaryota; Viridiplantae; Streptophyta; Magnoliopsida; Malpighiales; Euphorbiaceae
Source: RNAcentral